UUAGUGUAACUUAAACCGUUCUUUGUAUAGGAACCUUGAUGUUGCUGAGGACAAUGAUAUAAGUAAGGAUGAUGAUGAAGAUGGUUUGGACAUAAUUGCAGGCCUCCGGUGCAAGAUUGUGGUUCGGUUCAAAGAUCACAGAAAUUUCUAUAAUGCCUUGAAGAUUCUCUGCGGUCGUUCCUUAAAGAAGCAAGGAUCACGUUUGUUGGCUGAUUAUGAAGUGACUUGGGAUAAGGACAGCUUCUUUAAAAACUUUAGAAGCCAACCUGCUGAAAGGAGUAGAUGGGUGCCAGCAAGACUGGGAAACUAUAGUUCUGAAGAUUCUAGGCGUACAUCACAGAAUUCUUGGUUUAACCCUGAUGAUGCCCGACGAAAGAGGUUCAAGGAAUGAGAAAUUGAUUGAUCUGUAAAGAUUCCAUGGUUGAGCUCAUUGACAUGGAUGAUUUUAUGGCAGAGUAAAAGGUUAGUUGUUUAUGAUUGUUGUUUGGCCCCAUUUGCUGUGCAAGUUGUGUGUAUGUUUAAAUAGGAUGAUCUUAAUUGUUCAAGUGGAUUAAAGGUUUUAACCAAUCCCUCAUCGAGCUUGCAUGGUGUACUGUGCAUAGCUCAAGCAAUGAUGGAAAGGAUUAUUCAGUUCUUUCUGUCUUCAUGAAAUUAUUUUGUGGGUUAUGGUCUUCCCAUAACAAGACUAUAUACAAUCAUAAACAGAAUGGUGAAUGCAAUAUCCAGUGUUAAUUUGGACAAGGAUGUAGAGUUACCUUAUUGAUUAUUUAAACUAUAUCUGGAUUUAAGCUGCA
This is a long non-coding RNA of Olea europaea var. sylvestris, 794 nucleotides long. RefSeq lists it as uncharacterized. The transcript has 3 exons. NCBI's taxonomy places the organism in Eukaryota, Viridiplantae, Streptophyta, Magnoliopsida, Lamiales, Oleaceae. The record is from RefSeq and is a predicted model, not a curated record.